AUCACUUGUAGGGCUUUUUGCUAAGAUCAAAUGUAGUGUCUCUUCUUAUUAGUUUAAUAUCUGAUAUGUCCUCUAUCCAAGGGUAAUAUACUAAAUGGAUUUUGGGAUCAGGGAGAUAGAAUAGGAGCUUGCUCUUUCCACUCCAUGCAUCAACUUGGUAUUGCAAUACCUUCAGAAAUGCUAUACUUAAA
Molecule: small nuclear RNA, 191 nt
Filed under: Dasypus novemcinctus (nine-banded armadillo)
Lineage: Eukaryota; Metazoa; Chordata; Mammalia; Cingulata; Dasypodidae
Description: U2 spliceosomal RNA (ENSDNOG00000036606.1)
Rfam family: U2 spliceosomal RNA
About the family: U2 is a small nuclear RNA (snRNA) component of the spliceosome (involved in pre-mRNA splicing). Complementary binding between U2 snRNA (in an area lying towards the 5' end but 3' to hairpin I) and the branchpoint sequence (BPS) of the intron results the bulging out of an unpaired adenosine, on the BPS, which initiates a nucleophilic attack at the intronic 5' splice site, thus starting the first of two transesterification reactions that mediate splicing.
Source: RNAcentral